Molecule: non-coding RNA, 669 nt
Organism: Fukomys damarensis (Damara mole-rat)
Lineage: Eukaryota; Metazoa; Chordata; Mammalia; Rodentia; Bathyergidae
Source: the annotation of a RefSeq genome assembly
AUGUCAUCGUCACAUCUGCCCCUGUGUGCAGGAGGUGGGAGGAGAGCCUACCGUGGAAGCAGCGGCUCUCACCCAGAACCAGACUCCCACUCUGCAGCCUGGGGCUUUGUGGUCUCAGAUGCACAAGACUUUGUGACCGAGGCUGCAUUGGUGCUGAAGUGGAGAAAGGCAGAUUCUACCUUAGAGGGAGACACUCAGAUGCCUGCUCAGGGAUCCCAUUUUCCAGUGAAGGUCUUCUGCUCAGAUGGUGGCCCUCACUCCCCGCUGGGAGAUGUGGGUCACGUCCCUUCCAACCUGGAGUGGACGUGCAGGCUCCUUUUCCUGCUGGUGGCUGCCCCAGGUGUCCACUCACAAAUCCAGCUGCUGCAGUCUGGCGCUGAGCUGAAGAGGCCUGGAGAGUCAGUGAAGGUGUCCUGCCAAGGCUCCGGCUACACCUUCACUGACUAUGGUAUAAACUGGGUGAAACAGGCGCCAGGGAAAGGCCUGCUAUGGAUGGGCUGGAUCAACACCCAAACCGCAAAGCCCACAUAUGCUGAGGGCUUCACAGGACGAUUCACCUUCUCCCUGGAUGCCUCUGUCAGCACAGCAUAUCUGCAGAUCAGCAGCCUGCAGGCUGAAGACACAGCCGUGUAUUACUGUGCGAGACACAGUGUGAAAAUCACAUCCUGA